Molecule: ribosomal RNA, 254 nt
Filed under: uncultured bacterium
Lineage: Bacteria
Description: partial 16S ribosomal RNA
Rfam family: Bacterial small subunit ribosomal RNA
Source: RNAcentral
UACGUAGGCAGCGAGCGUUGUUCGGAAUUACUGGGCGUAAAGAGUGUGUAGGCGGUGCUCUAAGUUCGGUGUGAAAUCUCCUGGCUCAACUGGGAGGGUGCGCCGGAAACUGGAGUGCUUGAGCGUGGGAGAGGAAAGCGGAAGUUCCUGGUGUAGCGGUGAAAUGCGCAGAUAUCGGGAGGAACACCGGUGGCGAAGGCGGUUCUCUGGGCCUGUACUGACGCUGAGGAGCGAAAGCGUGGGGAGCGAACAGG